ACGCUGGCGGCAGGCUUAACACAUGCAAGUCGAACGGUAACAGGAAUUAGCUUGCUAAUUUGCUGACGAGUGGCGGACGGGUGAGUAAUGCUUGGGAAUCUGGCUUAUGGAGGGGGAUAACUACGGGAAACUGUAGCUAAUACCGCGUAAAAUCUUCGGAUUAAAGGGUGGGACUUUCGAGCCACCUGCCAUAAGAUGAGCCCAAGUGGGAUUAGGUAGUUGGUUAGGUAAAGGCUGACCAAGCCGACGAUCUCUAGCUGGUCUGAGAGGAUGACCAGCCACACUGGAACUGAGACACGGUCCAGACUCCUACGGGAGGCAGCAGUGGGGAAUAUUGCACAAUGGGGGGAACCCUGAUGCAGCCAUGCCGCGUGAAUGAAGAAGGCCUUCGGGUUGUAAAGUUCUUUCGGUGACGAGGAAGGUUGAUAGGUUAAUAGCCUAUCAAAUUGACGUUAAUCACAGAAGAAGCACCGGCUAACUCCGUGCCAGCAGCCGCGGUAAUACGGGGGGUGCGAGCGUUAAUCGGAAUAACUGGGCGUAAAGGGCACGCAGGCGGUGACUUAAGUGAGAUGUGAAAGCCCCGAGCUUAACUUGGGAAUUGCAUUUCAUACUGGGUCGCUAGAGUACUUUAGGGAGGGGUAGAAUUCCACGUGUAGCGGUGAAAUGCGUAGAGAUGUGGAGGAAUACCGAAGGCGAAGGCAGCCCCUUGGGAAUGUACUGACGCUCAUGUGCGAAGGCGUGGGGAGCAAACAGGAUUAGAUACCCUGGUAGUCCACGCUGUAAACGAUGUCGAUUUGGGGAUUGGGCUUUGAGCUUGGUGCCCGUAGCUAACGUGAUAAAUCGACCGCCCGGGGAGUACGGCCGCAAGGUUAAAACUCAAAUGAAUUGACGGGGGCCCGCACAAGCGGUG
RNAcentral lists this ribosomal RNA (910 nucleotides) under uncultured bacterium. Its description in RNAcentral is "bacterial SSU rRNA". It matches the Rfam family "Bacterial small subunit ribosomal RNA", at positions 33 to 934 of the family's 1533-position model. The record is from RNAcentral.